RNAcentral lists this ribosomal RNA (508 nucleotides) under uncultured bacterium. RNAcentral describes it as "partial 16S ribosomal RNA". It matches the Rfam family "Bacterial small subunit ribosomal RNA", at positions 28 to 507 of the family's 1533-position model. The record is from RNAcentral.
GACGAACGCUGGCGGCGUGCCUAAUACAUGCAAGUCGAACGCUUCUUUCCUCCCGAGUGCUUGCACUCAAUUGGAAAGAGGAGUGGCGGACGGGUGAGUAACACGUGGGUAACCUACCCAUCAGAGGGGGAUAACACUUGGAAACAGGUGCUAAUACCGCAUAACAGUUUAUGCCGCAUGGCAUAAGAGUGAAAGGCGCUUUCGGGUGUCGCUGAUGGAUGGACCCGCGGUGCAUUAGCUAGUUGGUGAGAUAACGGCUCACCAAGGCCACGAUGCAUAGCCGACCUGAGAGGGUGAUCGGCCACACUGGGACUGAGACACGGCCCAGACUCCUACGGGAGGCAGCAGUAGGGAAUCUUCGGCAAUGGACGAAAGUCUGACCGAGCAACGCCGCGUGAGUGAAGAAGGUUUUCGGAUCGUAAAACUCUGUUGUUAGAGAAGAACAAGGACGUUAGUAACUGAACGUCCCCUGACGGUAUCUAACCAGAAAGCCACGGCUAACUACGUG